RNAcentral lists this transfer RNA (84 nucleotides) under Felis catus (domestic cat). It matches the Rfam family "tRNA". From Rfam's summary of the family: Transfer RNA (tRNA) molecules are approximately 80 nucleotides in length. Their secondary structure includes four short double-helical elements and three loops (D, anti-codon, and T loops). Further hydrogen bonds mediate the characteristic L-shaped molecular structure. tRNAs have two regions of fundamental functional importance: the anti-codon, which is responsible for specific mRNA codon recognition, and the 3' end, to which the tRNAs corresponding amino acid is attached (by aminoacyl-tRNA synthetases). tRNAs cope with the degeneracy of the genetic code in two manners: having more than one tRNA (with a specific anti-codon) for a particular amino acid; and 'wobble' base-pairing, i.e. permitting non-standard base-pairing at the 3rd anti-codon position. Lineage: Eukaryota; Metazoa; Chordata; Mammalia; Carnivora; Felidae. The record is from Rfam by way of RNAcentral.
GCCUGGGUGGCUCGGUCGUUGAGCAUCUGACUUCGGCUCAGGGCAGGAUCUUGUGGUUCGUGGGUUCGAGCCCCGCCUCCGGCU